UUAAGCAUAUCAAUAAGCGGAGGAAAAGAAACCAACAGGGAUUGCCCUAGUAACGGCGAGUGAAAGCGGCAACAGCUCAAAUUUGAAAUCUGGCGCAAGCCCGAGUUGUAAUUUGUAGAGGAUGCUUCUGGGUAGCGACCGAUCUAAGUUCCUUGGAACAGGACGUCAUAGAGGGUGAGAAUCCCGUAUGUGACCGGCCCGCACCCUUUACGUAGCUCCUUCGACGAGUCGAGUUGUUUGGGAAUGCAGCUCUAAAUGGGAGGUAAAUUUCUUCUAAAGCUAAAUACCGGCCAGAGACCGAUAGCGCACAAGUAGAGUGAUCGAAAGAUGAAAAGUACUUUGGAAAGAGAGUUAAAAAGCACGUGAAAUUGUUGAAAGGGAAGCGCCUGCAACCAGACUUCGCGGCAGUGUUCCGCCGGUCUUCUGACCGGUUCAUUCUCUGUCGCGAGGCCAUCAUCGUCUGGGCCCGCCGGAUAAGACCUUAGGAAUGUAGCUCACCUUCGGGGGAGUGUUAUAGCCUAGGGUGAUGCGGCGAGGCUCGGGCGAGGUCCGCGCUUCGGCAAGGAUGAUGGCGUAAUGGUUGUCGGCGGCCCGUCUUGAAACACGGACCAAGGAGUCUAACAUCUAUGCGAGUGUUCGGGUGUCAAACCCCUACGCGUAAUGAAAGUGAACGGAGGUGGGAACCGCAAGGUGCACCAUCGACCGAUCCUGAUGUCCUCGGAUGGAUUUGAGUAAGAGCAUAGCUGUUGGGACCCGAAAGAUGGUGAACUAUGCCUGAAUAGGGUGAAGCCAGAGGAAACUCUGGUGGAGGCUCGCAGCGGUUCUGACGUGCAAAUCGAUCGUCAAAUUUGGGUAUAGGGGCGAAAGACUAAUCGAACCAUCUAGUAGCUGGUUCCUGCCGAA
RNAcentral lists this ribosomal RNA (903 nucleotides) under Septoria convolvuli. RNAcentral describes it as "LSU rRNA". It matches the Rfam family "Eukaryotic large subunit ribosomal RNA", at positions 34 to 965 of the family's 3401-position model. The record is from RNAcentral. Lineage: Eukaryota; Fungi; Ascomycota; Dothideomycetes; Mycosphaerellales; Mycosphaerellaceae.